This 246-nucleotide ribosomal RNA is filed under the name uncultured Eubacteriales bacterium. RNAcentral's name for it is "uncultured Clostridiales bacterium partial 16S ribosomal RNA". It matches the Rfam family "Bacterial small subunit ribosomal RNA", at positions 88 to 334 of the family's 1533-position model. Lineage: Bacteria; Bacillati; Bacillota; Clostridia; Eubacteriales. The record is from RNAcentral.
CGGAUUAGCGGCGGACGGGUGAGUAACACGUGAGUAACCUGCCUUAGACAUUGGGAUAGCCUCGGGAAACCGGGAUUAAUACCAAAUAAAAUCAUAAUGACACAUGUCAUAACGAUCAAAACUCCGGUGGUCUAAGAUGGGCUCGCGUCCCAUUAGCUAGUUGGUAGAGUAAAAGCCUACCAAGGCGACGAUGGGUAGCCGGCCUGAGAGGGCGAACGGCCACAUUGGAACUGAGAAACGGUCCAA